GACGAAGGAUGCAAGCGUUAUCCGGAUUCAUUGGGUUUAAAGGGUGCGUAGGCGGACCUGUAAGUCAGUGGUGAAAUCUCUUCGCUUAACGAAGAAACUGCCAUUGAUACUGCAAGUCUAGAGUACAGAUGAUGUGGGCGGAAUAUGACAUGUAGUGGUGAAAUACUUAGAUAUGUCAUAGAACACCGAUUGCGAAGGCAGCUCACAAAACUGUAACUGACGCUGAGGCACGAAAGUGCGGGGAUCAAACAGGAUUAGAUACCCUGGUAGUCCGCACCGUAAACGAUGAUUACUCGUUGUUGGCGAUAUGACAGUCAGCGACCAAGCGAAAGCGAUAAGUAAUCCACCUGGGGAGUACGCCGGCAACGGUGAA
This 373-nucleotide ribosomal RNA is filed under the name uncultured bacterium. Its description in RNAcentral is "bacterial SSU rRNA". It matches the Rfam family "Bacterial small subunit ribosomal RNA", at positions 524 to 898 of the family's 1533-position model. The record is from RNAcentral.